AUUGAACGCUGGCGGCAUGCCUUACACAUGCAAGUCGAACGGUAACAGGUCUUCGGAUGCUGACGAGUGGCGAACGGGUGAGUAAUACAUCGGAACGUGCCUAGUAGUGGGGGAUAACUACUCGAAAGAGUGGCUAAUACCGCAUGAGAUCUACGGAUGAAAGCAGGGGAUCGCAAGACCUUGUGCUACUAGAGCGGCCGAUGGCAGAUUAGGUAGUUGGUGGGAUAAAAGCGUACCAAGCCGACGAUCUGUAGCUGGUCUGAGAGGACGAUCAGCCACACUGGGACUGAGACACGGCCCAGACUCCUACGGGAGGCAGCAGUGGGGAAUUUUGGACAAUGGGUGAAAGCCUGAUCCAGCAAUGCCGCGUGCAGGAUGAAGGCCUUCGGGUUGUAAACUGCUUUUGUACGGAACGAAAAGCCCCGGGUUAAUACCCUGGGGUCAUGACGGUACCGUAAGAAUAAGCACCGGCUAACUACGUGCCAGCCGCCGCAGUAA
Molecule: ribosomal RNA, 498 nt
Filed under: uncultured bacterium
Lineage: Bacteria
Description: partial 16S ribosomal RNA
Rfam family: Bacterial small subunit ribosomal RNA
Source: RNAcentral